GGGAGUGUGGCUCAGUGGUAGAAUGCUUGCUUAGCACACAUGAGUCUCUGGAUUCAAUCCCCAGCACCACCA
Molecule: transfer RNA, 72 nt
Filed under: Dipodomys ordii (Ord's kangaroo rat)
Lineage: Eukaryota; Metazoa; Chordata; Mammalia; Rodentia; Heteromyidae
Rfam family: tRNA
About the family: Transfer RNA (tRNA) molecules are approximately 80 nucleotides in length.
Source: Rfam by way of RNAcentral